Molecule: long non-coding RNA, 1753 nt
Organism: Gallus gallus (chicken)
Lineage: Eukaryota; Metazoa; Chordata; Aves; Galliformes; Phasianidae
Source: Ensembl
GUAAUUAACUGCGGUUAUUCGGUGCUUAAUUAGCAAUUAAUUGGCGGCUAAUUAGCAUUUCUGACCCUCAGCUAGCCCGCUUUUGUCGGGUUUCGUGUUGUUUGCCGGGCUGCAAAGGGGUUUGAGCAUAGAGUUGUCGCUUUGUUGGGUUUCUUGCUGUUAAUUAGGGGCUAAUGUGGGGGGUUAAUUAAAACGGGGUUAAUUAAGCAGCCCUUAUUGGAGCUGAGCGCGUUUGAAUGGCUUUGAAGGCCAAAAAGCGGCGUGGAAUGGGCUUAAAACUCUCCUAUGCUUUUGAAUGGGGGUCGUGGUGGCUUUGUUAAUUAGCCGCGUGUUAAUGAAGGCCGAACGGGGGGCAGUGGGGAGCAGCAGGUGCAGUUAAUUAGCUCCAGGUGGCGUUAAUUAGCCCAGGUGGACCAUCUCUAUGGUCUUGGAGGACCUUUCCGAGCCCACCCCUCUCCAACUCUAUGGUCUUGGAGGACCUUUCCGUGCCCCCCAACUCUAUGGUCUUGGGGGACCUUUCCGAGCCCCCCAACUCUAUGGUCUUGGAGGACCUUUCCGAGCCCCCCAACUCUAUGGUCUUGGAGGACCUUUCCGAGCCCCCCAACUCUAUGGUCUUGGAGGACCUUUCCUACCUCAAUGGGGUCUUAAUGGGGUUUUAAUUUGGGGUCUUAAUGGGGUUUUAAUUGGGGUCUUAACGGGGCCUUAAUUGGGGCGCUAGUUGGGUUCUUAUGGGGUCCCUAUGGGGUUCUGUGGGGUCGGGGGUGUUGUAGGGUCCCACUGGGGUCUCUAUGGGGUCUCUAUGGGGUCUGAGAGGGUUUAUAGGGUCUCUAUGGGGUCCUAUGGGUCUCUAUGGGGUCUUAUGGGGUCUUUAUGGGAUCUGAGAGAGUUUAUGGGGUCCUUAUGGGGUCUGAGAGGGUUUAUAGGGUCUCUAUGGGGGCUUAUAGGGUCCUUAUGGGGUCUGAGAGGGCUUAUAGGGUCCUUAUGGGGUCUGAGAGGGUUUAUAGGGUCUUCUGGGGUCUCUAUGGGGUCUGAGAGGGCUUAUAGGGUCUUUAUGGGGUCCUAUAGGGUCUCUAUGGGGUCUUAUGGGGUCUGAGAGGGCUUGUGGGGUCUUUAUGGGGUCCUAUAGGGUUUCUAUGGGGUCUUAUGGGGUCUGAGAGGGCUUAUAGGGUCGUUAUGGGGUCCUAUGGGGUUGCUAUUGGGCUCCUUAUGGGGUCUGAGAGGGCUUAUAGGGUCUUUAUGGGGUUUUAUGGGGUCCUUAUGGAGUCUCUAUGGGGUCUUAUGGGGUCUUUAUGGGAUCUGAGAGAGUUUAUGGGGUCCUUAUGGGGUCCUUAUGGGGUCUGAGAGGGCUUAUAGGGUCCUUAUGGGGUCCUAUGGGGUCUAAGAGGGCUUAUAGGGUCUCUAUGGGGUCUCUAUGGGGUCCUAUAGGGUCCUUAAGGAGUCUAAAAGGGUUUAUAGGAUCUCUGUGGGGUCCUAUAGGGUCUUAUGGGGUCCUUAUGGGGUCUGAGAGGGUUUAUAGGGUCUUUAUGGGGUCCUAUAGGGUUUCUAUGGGAUCUUAUGGGGUCUGAGAGGGUUUAUAGGGUCUUUAUGGGGUCCUAUAGGGUCUCUAUGGGGUUCUAUGGGGUCCUUAUGGGGUCUGAGAGGGCUUAUAGGGUCUUUAUGGGGUCCUUAUGGGGUCUGAGAGGGACGCAUAGGGACUCAUUAAUGACCCUAUAAACUCUCUGGAUCCCGUAAGGACCCCAUAAGGACCCCAUAG